UAGGGAAUCUUCCACAAUGGACGAAAGUCUGAUGGAGCAACGCCGCGUGAGUGAAGAAGGUCUUCGGAUCGUAAAGCUCUGUUGUUGGUGAAGAAGGAUAGAGGCAGUAACUGGUCUUUAUUUGACGGUAAUCAACCAGAAAGUCACGGCUAACUACGUGCUAG
RNAcentral lists this ribosomal RNA (164 nucleotides) under uncultured bacterium. RNAcentral describes it as "partial 16S rRNA". It matches the Rfam family "Bacterial small subunit ribosomal RNA", at positions 355 to 511 of the family's 1533-position model. The record is from RNAcentral.